Non-coding RNA from Gopherus flavomarginatus (Mexican gopher tortoise), 977 nucleotides. The record is from the annotation of a RefSeq genome assembly. NCBI's taxonomy places the organism in Eukaryota, Metazoa, Chordata, Testudines, Testudinidae.
UCUCAAUUACAAUAUAAUUGGAGUGACUGGAGAUAUUUAUACUCACAAAUCCAAAAUGAGUUAGAGAAGUAUGAUGAUCAUCAACCAGAGAAACUGAGGCACAGAGCUGUUAAGUGACUUGUAAGAUCACACAGGGAAUCUACGGCGCAGCCAGGAACCAGGUCUCCCACCCGUUCUAACCACAAACCCAACCUUUCCUCGCUAGCUCGCUAUCAGCUACAGACCAGCCUGAACCCAACGUGUUUCAAGCCCCGACCCCUCCCUCUUCCUUUGGGCUGGUUUCUGAUGAACCUUCCCCACCUGCAGCCGCUUUCAGAGGCGUGAAGUUAAUUUUCCUGUGAGCAGCAACAGCUGAGAACCUCAGAUUCGGUCGCUAUGAAAGAAACCAUGGAGUCGAGUUUCAUUACCAGCAUUGGGCUGUUGAUUCACCUAGGUGCUGCGCUGGGGGACUCGGUCCAGUCCAGGGAACCCCACCUCUCUGGAAGAGAAGGGGACGCUGUGACCCUCACUUGUUCCUAUGAUACCAGUUCUACCGGCUACAUCUAUCUCUACUGGUACCGUCAGUUUCCCAACCAAGCCCUUCAGUACAUUCUCUUUAGAGGAGUGAAGCAGGCCAGAGGCCAGAGUGAUACCGCAGAUUUCGCCCAGCAGAGGUUUUCUUCCCAGGCUGAUGACAGCUCAACGGUUUUAACCAUCACAGCCCUGGAGCUGGCAGACACAGCGGUGUAUCUCUGCGCUCUGCAGCAAGCACAGUGACAGAGCCACAUGGCAGAGCUGUACAAAAACCCUUCCAGCCUUGCUGUAGCUGAGGUUAGGCACACACACACUGAGGCUGGAAAUAGGGGCCCUUGGCAGAUUUGUUAUUCUGUUAAGAAACUCAUAAUUAGGAAUAGUUUUGAUGGUGUCAAGGUAUUCCUUCCGAUUCCCCCCAAAAGCAAAUUCCUAUGCAAACAUGCGAACGGCCAUCCUGGGUCAGA